Molecule: ribosomal RNA, 496 nt
Filed under: uncultured bacterium
Lineage: Bacteria
Description: bacterial SSU rRNA
Rfam family: Bacterial small subunit ribosomal RNA
Source: RNAcentral
AUGAACGCUAGCGACAGGCCUAACACAUGCAAGUCGAGGGGCAGCACAAGGAGCAAUCUGAGGUGGCGACCGGCGCACGGGUGAGUAACACGUAUGCAACCUGCCUGUAAGCGGGGAAUAACCCGUUGAAAGACGGACUAAUACCGCAUAAUACUAAAUUACUGCAUGGUAAUUUAUUUAAACAUUUAUGGCUUACAGAUGGGCAUGCGCAUGAUUAGCUAGUUGGAGAGGUAACGGCUCCCCAAGGCAACGAUCAUUAGGGGUUCUGAGAGGAAGGUCCCCCCACACUGGUACUGAGACACGGACCAGACUCCUACGGGAGGCAGCAGUGAGGAAUAUUGGUCAAUGGACGAGAGUCUGAACCAGCCAAGUCGCGUGCAGGAAGAAUUGUCCUAUGGAUUGUAAACUGCUUUUGCAGGGGAAUAAAGUGCAUCACGUGUGAUGUUUUGUAUGUACUCUGCGUAUAAGGAUCGGCUAACUCCGUGCCAGCCGCCGC